RNAcentral lists this ribosomal RNA (468 nucleotides) under uncultured bacterium. RNAcentral's name for it is "partial 16S ribosomal RNA". It matches the Rfam family "Bacterial small subunit ribosomal RNA", at positions 28 to 507 of the family's 1533-position model. The record is from RNAcentral.
GACGAACGCUGGCGGCGUGCUUAACACAUGCAAGUCGAACGGAAAGGCCCUGCUUUUGUGGGGUGCUCGAGUGGCGAACGGGUGAGUAACACGUGAGUAACCUGCCCUUGACUUUGGGAUAACUUCAGGAAACUGGGGCUAAUACCGGAUAGGAGCUCCUGCUGCAUGGUGGGGGUUGGAAAGAUUCGGCGGUGGGGGAUGGACUCGCGGCUUAUCAGCUUGUUGGUGGGGUAGUGGCUUACCAAGGCUUUGACGGGUAGCCGGCCUGAGAGGGUGACCGGCCACAUUGGGACUGAGAUACGGCCCAGACUCCUACGGGAGGCAGCAGUGGGGAAUAUUGCACAAUGGGCGGAAGCCUGAUGCAGCAACGCCGCGUGCGGGAUGACGGCCUUCGGGUUGUAAACCGCUUUCGCCUGUGACGAAGCGUGAGUGACGGUAAUGGGUAAAGAAGCACCGGCUAACUACGUG